CUCCACAUCCUGCAAUCUGAAAGCAUUGUAUAUAGUGAUUUCCUUUGUCUCCUCAACAUUACAAUUGGAAGAUCAGAGGCAAUCAUUGAUUUCCAAUGAGGUCAUACAAGUUCAACAGGAAUGUGGAUCUUGGACUGUAUGGCCAGGCUGUAACAGCCACCACAACCAGCCCACAACCUUGGCAUUUCUGACAGGAUGUUGCUGUUUGCUGCCACCACUGCAAAAGACCACAUACUUCAAAUCAGGAAGCCACCAGUUUAAUAGAAGAGCAAACUGACUCCUAACACAGAGCUUGUCUCCAACCAACAAUCUUCUACAGAAAACAAGGAGGACUUUUAGUCACUCUGCUGCAUAAUAUAUUCAACCCAAUAUGCAUUUUCUUUUAUUUUUAAAGUAAAAAGUAACAUUGAUAAUAUAGAAAUUCUGGAAACUAGAAAAACUAUUCUGGCUUUUUUUUUGUAUAUUUUCUUCCACGUUUUUGGUGUACAUGAGAUUGCACGUUU
Artibeus jamaicensis (Jamaican fruit-eating bat) is the source of this 503-nucleotide long non-coding RNA. RefSeq lists it as uncharacterized. The transcript has 3 exons. Lineage: Eukaryota; Metazoa; Chordata; Mammalia; Chiroptera; Phyllostomidae. The record is from RefSeq and is a predicted model, not a curated record.